AUGUCGGAUGUGUUGCACUUUGCGUUUCCACUAUUGUUUAUUUUUAUAAUUACACGAAAUUAAAACUGUGCCAAGGCAAAAUGUGUGGCUUUUAGUCCUGCCAAUAAUUAGUAGUCGAUUGUGCAUUUUAUUUGUGGGUUUAUUCAGACAUGUCAUUGAUGAAAGUGAAGAAUUUGUGAAAAUGUGAUAAUAAUUUGUAUUUGGCUUUGUGCCAUUGGAUUUAUUGGAGUUUUUGUGUGAGAAGGUCAUGAUGUGGGGGUUUGGAGUCGUUGUGGUGUUGGUGUUUGUGGUGCAGGGGGGUUUGGGGAUGUGCCCAUCGUUGUGUACUUGUAGGACGAAUAAGGCUGAUGGGGCGGCAUCGGAGCCCCUGACUGGGGAGUUUCUGAAGCUCAAGUGCGGCGGGAGCCCCACUCAGAUCACGGAGCUGAAAGAAAUAGACCUAAGCAACCAGCACUUGUGGGCAGUUGUUGUCAGCCUGAAUUUGUCUGGAAAUGCGAUAUCAACAUUGUCAAGAGAUUUGCACUUACCAAUAUUGCAAAAACUAGAUCUAAGCAGAAAUCAAAUAACUCUCAUAGAGUCUGAUGCAUUCUACAACAUGACGUCGUUACAGCGGCUAGACCUGUCAUACAAUCAGAUAAGCAAUGUCUACAAGGAUAUAUUCAAAAGUCUCGUUAACUUGGAGCGGUUGAACCUAGCCCAGAAUCAUAUAUCUGUGCUUGCUACCGGCACAUUUGAUUAUCUCGUUGGAUUGACACAUUUAGACCUCACUGGCAACCCGCUGAUCUGCGAUUGUGACCUACUCUGGGUGGGGGACUGGGCUAGGAAUACCAGCGUCAAACUGGGGAACCUAAAGUGCGCCUUCCCAGAGAACAUGGUGGGCAAACCAGUUCGCAAACUGAAAAUAUUCCUAGACCUGUCUACUUGUGGCAGCGUUCUCCCAUCAAACAGCUUGAUAGUCAAACCGUCACAAGACCAAGUGGUUUUCGAAGGGGAUACUUUAACACUAUCUUGCAACGCCCCUUUCGCGUCUGUGGCAGCUAAAUACGAGCUGAAAUGGCUGCAUCCAAUGCUGGAAGUCUGUGACGUCAACGUGACAAAUACCGACAUGCAAGAAGAGGGUUUAGCCGAGACAACGGUAUACUUUCCUAACAUAACCAACCACCACACGGGGAACUGGACUUGUAUGUACAGCGACCAGAAUCAUAUACGGCAUAACUACUCUGUAGAGGUCUUGGUUUUGUCGAAUAAGACACAGUAUUGCCCGACAAAUUACUCGAUAAACAAUAAAGGACUGUAUUCCUGGCCACAAUUACUUGUGAAUCACACGGCUGUGGUGCCAUGUAGAAGCGGAGAAGGGUCAGCCUAUAGAUACUGCAAAGCGAAUUCUACUUGGGGACCGAUGAACACCACAGAAUGUUCUUAUAUCAGCAAUGUGACGAAGUUGCUACAGCAAUUUGCUCUUUUAAACGUCAGUUUGGUGCAGUAUUCAGCGCUGAAUGCAACGGAGAGACUCGCAAUGCUUAUUCAAGAGAAGACAUAUCCCAUAGCAGAGAUAACUGAUCCUGACGACGUCAUGUUUAUAGCAGACGCUAUACAAAACUAUAUGCAGUAUAUCGGUGAAGAGAGAGACUUAGGUUCAGCGCUAUUGGACGUGAUAAGCGCAGCGAUGAACAUAACACCGUCAGUGAUGACGGCGGCAGAGACGAGCCACGGCGCGUGCACACGCCUGCUGCGCGCCGCUGAAGACAUCUCCAACUUUACUGGCAAUGUGCAGGGGCAUAAGGUAAACCUAGCAGUGGAGCGGUUCCCGGUGCGCGAGGGCUUCAGCGGCGUGACGUGCGUGUGGUACAGCGCCGAGGGCGGCGCGGGCCCGCGCCUGCACUGCACCACCACCAACCGCACCGUGGCGCCGCUGCUGGCCGUCAGCGACGCGCUCAUCCACGCCAGCGUGCAGAUACCACAAUCGCUGCUCUACGCAACAACAGACUCCGGAACCCUGUUGCAGACCAACCCUGAGUCGUUAAUAGUGGCUAUGUAUGGUGACGCGUCGCUUUUCCCCGUGCUGCCGGAGCGAGAGAAUGACGGCCAUAUGAGGGUCCAUCGCGCGAAAGACUACUACGGACGCAGCACCAAGCGCGAAGACAUCAAUAUGGAAAUCACGUCGCCUGUUGUUGGCUUCCAGUUGACGAACGUAUCGAUCCGCGGGGACCUGCUGGAGCCGAUCAUAGCGACGGUGCGGGCGAGCUCCGUAGGCGGGGUCGAUGGCCGCGCGGCCGUGUGGGACCCCGACACCCGCCAGUGGCAGGACAACAUGACUGAUUGCAGAAUAUCCCACGUGAUAUCAGAAAUGGUGAUCAUCAGCUGCACAAGACUCGCUUACGUUGGUCUACUUCAGAACGUGGAGACCGGCAUAUACGGAGCCCGCACCGACGGCGCGAGAUUCAAGGUAUCUCACCCCGCAGUUUAUGUAGGAAGCCUUAUUCUAAUAGGUUGUGUUAGCUGCGCCACAUUAACGUAUAUCAUGUGCUACCCCGCCAUACUGAUGGCUAAGAAAACCAAACAUGCCCUCAUAAACACUUGGAUAGCCAUAGGACUACUCUGCUUCAUGUAUACCUUAGGCAUCUACCAAACAGAAGACGUCAAAUUGUGCCAGAUUUUAGGACUGCUAAUACACUAUCUGUCUCUUUCAUGCCUGUUAUGGAUGUGUGUGUCGGCUAGUAAUAUGUACAAGUGGGUGACAAAGACGCAUAAUCCUGUUAGGACUCCAGAAGAAGAUAUACCACCUGACGUUCCAGUUCAGAAACCUAUAUUAGGACUGUAUUUAGUCGGUUGGGGUAUUGCUCUGAUCGUCUGUGGGAUUUCUGGAGCUGUUAACUUAAAGGACUACGCCGGUUAUUCCCAAUGUUUCUUAAGUACCGCCCCGGCUCUAAGCGCUUUAUUCGUACCUGGAGGUAUACUGCUAAUGUUCUUAUUAGUACUAUUCCUCCUAAUCCGUUGUACUAUAAGAAGCAUGAACGUACAGUUAUCAGAAGGCACACAAGCGACUGAAAAUGUCGAUUUGGAAAUGUGGGAACCGAAUCAGGCGAAUGAAAACGCUGAAAGAAGAAGUAUUAAGUCAGCGGUAGAUUCCGAAGUCGACGACAUAGAACAUACGCCGAUAAUACAGCUUCGAGCGCAAGUUAUUGUGUUAUGUUUGUAUAUGUCUGUAUGGACAUGUGGGGCAAUAGCUGUGUACAGGCCUUUACCAGCUUACCUGCCAUAUCAGGAAGACAUCUGCAGUAUUAUAUACGCAGUUUGCGCUACUGUCUUGGGCACUUUUAUUCUAUUCUUCUACGGAAUCGCGAGAAGUGACGUCAGAGCCCAAUGGUCUAUGAUGCAUUGCUAUUUGCAGAAAAGCAAGCAAUGUUGUAGGAACAGAAGCGUUUUCGAUACAAAUCAAUCGAAUUUGCCGUCGAACCAAACCGCAGCGCCAUUGGCACAUCCCAUACCAAACGAUAACAGAUCCAGGUCUGGUAGUAGAAGCUCUAACAGAACUAAUUCAAAGACCAACAACAGUGGAACUUUUAAAGCCGGUGCUGAACUGAACGGACAGACGCUGCAAAAAGAUCUACUCAAAAACACGAAUGGAAAAACCCCAAAUAUAAACUUAGUAGUCUUACACAGACAACAGUAUAGAUCUAAUAACUCUAUGAUGACAUAUCCAGAUUCUUCAAAUGUUGGACCAGAAGUGUUCUACAAUCCCAAUCAAAUGAACGUUGCUAAAAAAUUCUUCAAGAAACAAAGGCAGAAUAUGAAGAGGAAUUGUCUCGAACUGCCUUCGAGACGUGAUUGCGACAAUGAUUCCCAUAUGUCCCUACCCUUGCCUUCAAAAGAAGCUUAUAACGGUGUUGCUAAUAUUAUAAAUUCUGGUUCCAAAGUAAACAAUACAAAUCUACACGUUGAAAGAUCGAACAACGGUAUCAAAGAGACGCGACACGGAGCGAAUCCCAAUUUACUUGAAGACGAAACGAAAGAUUACAAAAAUUAUUCAAUGGAUAGAAAAUCGUGGAAUAAAAGUGAGGAACCGAAAUCUAGUAGGGUUAUGAAUAUCUACACUAACGUCCCAGAAACACAAGUGCCACAGCACCAAAUAAUCAAAGCUGUUACGAAACCUUUCAACGUGCAAAGAACGAGUAUUUCUGAAGAAUGUUUGCAAAGUCACGCGGAGCAACCAGAAAUGAGAACAAUAUCCCAACAGUGCAGUCUAGAAUAUUCCUCAGCGUCAGAAAUCGCGAUGCCUCACACUUGUUCCGACCAAACUUUGAACACUCAUUCAGAACUCACUUCGUUCCAAGAAAGUGCUCUAUGUUCAACCAAUGAAAUCACUGACACUGAAAGUUUCGGACAGUAUAUUGACUACUUGCAACCAAAUAAGCAGGAGAACAAAGACGGCGUAGAUAAGAGUCUUCAAGACAUAUCUGAAGAAUGCACGAUGAAUAGUGACGAGAUUAACAGGUCUAGUACACCGCAGCACUUAGAAGGUGAUGCAGGGGAAAUGGACAAUUUGCUCCAAAACGCGGAACCUCAAGGUUCCAAAGAGAAAAUAGACGGAGAGAAAGACACAUUUUUCAUGGCGAAAACUACGUACGAUUUCGAAACGUGUAGUACGAAUGCUAGCGAAGCCGGCUUUGAGAAUGAAAGCGAUAUUUACUGCCCUAACUACCAAAUGUCUGAAGUUAGCAUUCGGAGUCAUGGUCUGUAUGCUCCAUCACCAUCCUCUAUGUGUCCGAACGAAAUAAGUUUUAGCAACGAAGAUGUGUCGAACAUUGAGAGCCAGUAUGUGAACUACGAUCCUGGUUGGAGAAAGACGAUCAAAAGCAAUCCAAAGUUAGGCAAAUACGUGCCGACACCAGCUUUAAGCUGCCCUGAUGUGAACAGAGAGAGUCCUGUUUCAUUCAGCAGUGAGUUAGACGAGUUAUACACUCAGAUAACGAGUAGAGAUAAGGAAAGGACACCGCGAAAGGAAGGUCUGGAUGUGACAAUAAAUAGUGACGUCACACUCAAACCUACGGACAGUGACAGUUGUGUGAGCGAGGCAGUAUCAGAUGUAGAGGUUAAGGGGGAAACGACGGUGUAAUCCACCUUUUGUGUUCGAGUUGAAACAUGGCCUGAGUCUGUUGUACAUUGGAAUGAGCUUAGUGAUGCCUGAGUAAGCACAAAUGAACAAAACUUCAAAAAUAAUAAGAGGUGUUAAUCAUAGUUGACAAUAGACAGAGAUGUUAAGUAAAUUAAGAUAAAGAUUCAUCCAUCAUCAUGAUCGUCUUCAUCGUGUCUUAGUCCACUUUUGAAUCAUACAGUUAUCUAAAGAGAUAGCUUCAAAUUGUAAAGAAAACCAUCACCAAAAACUUAAAAUUAAUCUUAAUCGUCUCCAGGCUUUCCAAGGUGGCAUGGAUUAAACUAUUACUGCCUUACAAACGGAAGACUAAAGAUAAUACCAGAUUAUAAUAUAGUCUACGUCACGAAAGAAGUCCCGCGGCCGAGUCGCUAGUGUCAAAGUUUCUACAUAGAAUUAUUACGACUUGUCAAUUAGUUCCAUUAAAAUCCGUGGACGUUUCUCCUGCCACGGAUUAUAUUUUAAACAUGGUAGUAUUUUUAGUCUUCGUUUUGCGAUAAGGCGGAGUGUUCUAACAUGGUACGGAAUUACGGAUGACAGUUUUUAGAAUAGUACAUUUGAUUACUUGGAUUGAAUCUUUACACUAUACACUCGACUCGGCUGGCUUGUGUUGUUUUGUGCCAUGUGACCGAUGAUGGUAUUGUCUCUUUCACACUAAACUGUACUCUAUAUUUCUGUCCUGUUGUCAUACCGUGUUAAAGCACAAAUAGUAUAGGCAGAGUAUUAUAUCCAAGUGCUUGAGACCACCUAUAGUAUUUCUAUUAGGUGGGGUGGUGUGGCUGAAAUCGUAGUUUUGGUUAGGAAAAGAGUUUACGCUUAGCAUCGACUGUACGUAUCCGCGAUAUACAGGUUGUUAGUGACAUCGUAACGAAUACU
Molecule: unclassified non-coding RNA, 6028 nt
Filed under: Pectinophora gossypiella (pink bollworm)
Lineage: Eukaryota; Metazoa; Arthropoda; Insecta; Lepidoptera; Gelechiidae
Description: adhesion G protein-coupled receptor A3
Source: RNAcentral